RNAcentral lists this ribosomal RNA (406 nucleotides) under uncultured bacterium. RNAcentral describes it as "partial 16S ribosomal RNA". It matches the Rfam family "Bacterial small subunit ribosomal RNA", at positions 29 to 526 of the family's 1533-position model. The record is from RNAcentral.
AUUGAACGCUGGCGGCAGGCCUAACACAUGCAAGUCGAGCGAGCGGCGGACGGGUGAGUAAUGUCUGGGAAACUGCCUGAUGGAGGGGGAUAACUACUGGAAACGGUAGCUAAUCCCGCAUACAAUCAGAUGUGCCCAGAUGGGAUUAGCUAGUAGGUGGGGUAACGGCUCACCUAGGCGACGAUCCCUAGCUGGUCUGAGAGGAGGACCAACCACACGGGGACUUGAACACGGUCCAGACUCCUACGGGGGGCAGCAGUGGGGAAUAUGUGAAAAUGGGGGGAAGCCUGAGGCGGCCAUGCCGGGGGUGGGAAGAAGGCCUUCGGGUUGUAAAGCACUUUCAGGGGGGAGGCGUUACCCGAAGAAGAAGCACCGGCUAACUCCGUGCCAGCAGCCGCGGUAAUAA